RNAcentral lists this long non-coding RNA (1576 nucleotides) under Parus major (Great Tit). RNAcentral describes it as "lncRNA (ENSPMJG00000018492.1)". The record is from RNAcentral. Lineage: Eukaryota; Metazoa; Chordata; Aves; Passeriformes; Paridae.
UGGAAAGUUAUCCUUUGUAUCUCAUGAUCAGAUCACAAGCUAGCAUGUGACUCGGGAGGGAAAAACAAGUCUUUCCAGCAGAUGUCAAGGCAGCGAGCCGGCUUUGCUGACUGCUGUACCUUGCUGUCUGCAGCCAAAGUCAAUUCCUGGUGCAUCCUUGAGAGGCGCUUGAAUGGCUUUCCCCUCGCACACGGAAGCGCAGGGAGCACGGACGUCGUCUUUCAUUGUGAUGGGAAAGGUUAUCGGGUACGAAACAAAAGUGAAAUCAUCCGCUGGCAUUCCUGGGACCAAAAUAGCUGCCUGCUUCCAGCACUGACGUUAUCACAGAGGAAGGAAGGCUCCGGAUACAGGCUGUCCCGUUCCAGGGCUCACGUACCGACCCUGCAGCGAGCCAGCUCCAGGGCUGGCUGUGAGCAGAAGCGAAAUGAGGCAUUCUUGCCACGGCAGGUCGAAGAGAACUCAGUGCAUGAGGUCCCAAAGUUGCCGUCACUGCCAAGCAGCCCCAGAGCGUCACACAAGAAACACUCAGUGACAGCCCAGCAGAGCUCACUGCCUCACGUUAAUGUUCAGGGCUAGAGCCCUCCUGGGGACAGCACAGCACGGGGACAGCUGUGGCAGAUGGACACCCCUAACAGGGGACUCUGUGAGCUGCUGGCCCUGCUGCUGGCAGCCUGGGGGCUGUGGUGCCCUGCCUGCAGAACUGGGUCUGAGCAGGGACAUGGUCAGCAAAGGCAAGGCUUGGCUGUCAGCUCACUAAAAGCAUCUUUACUGUUCCACUUAUCUGGGAUUUUCUGUUACUGGUUUUUUUUUCCUCUAGCACAGAUAGAUUAAAUCCAAGAACCAGCAUAGCCACAAAGCCAAGCGUAUCUAUCAGGCCUCUUUCUACAGAGGCACUUAGGUGUUUCUCAACUGAGACUUGUCACAAAACAAGUGGCUUUCUGAAAGCAGAGGUUGCUGUCAGUUCACAGGCCUCUGGCAUUGGGCUACCCAGGGUCACCCUGAGCCAGCAGCAUGUCCCUGUCUGGCUGCAGCGCUGCCCCUGUCCCCUCCUUACCUCCUGCCUUUUUGCAGCCACUCCCAUCAGGACAUCUGCAUGAAAUGCCAGGAAAAGCACCCAGGUCUGGAGGAACCCUGAUGCCACUGCUUCCAGGAAUCUCCUGUCUCUCAUGCUACAGGAAACAGCCAGCUGGCAAGUCCUUGCUUCAAUUUCUUUUCUCAAGGCAGGACUGUGCAGGCAUGGCCCCAGGCUGGCCCAUCUCUAGCAGCACUCUGUGGAGGGGAGCUGGAAGGGAGGAUUGCAGGGAGACACCAACACCAGAUGCUGCUCUCAGUCCUGCUCACCAUCUGAAACUAAGCCAAAAGCCUGGGGAAGGGCUGCAGGGGCAGGCCAGGAGGGCUGUGGAUGCUUUACAGAUGGAGAAGGCAGGAGCACCCUAGAGAUCCUGCAGAGCCCAGUGGAGAUGGGAGUGGCUGACAGGUGGCACGCUGUGGAUGUAUGACAUCUGCCAGGGUGUGGGGACAGCAGGAUUUGGGGAGCACAGAUGUGCUGAGCAACCUUCUGUGAAGCCCUUGGGAC